GAAGCUGACCAGACAGUCGCCGCUUCGUCGUCGUCCUCCUUCGGGGGGAGACGGGCGGAGGGGAGGAAAGUCCGGGCUCCAUAGGGCAAGGUGCCAGGUAACGCCUGGGGGGUGUCACAGCCCACGACCAGUGCAACAGAGAGCAAACCGCCGAUGGCCCGCGCAAGCGGGAUCAGGUAAGGGUGAAAGGGUGCGGUAAGAGCGCACCGCGCGGCUGGU
This 219-nucleotide RNase P RNA is filed under the name Klebsiella pneumoniae. RNAcentral describes it as "partial RNase P RNA component class A". It matches the Rfam family "Bacterial RNase P class A", at positions 1 to 190 of the family's 367-position model. Rfam says of the family: Ribonuclease P (RNase P) is a ubiquitous endoribonuclease, found in archaea, bacteria and eukarya as well as chloroplasts and mitochondria. Its best characterised activity is the generation of mature 5'-ends of tRNAs by cleaving the 5'-leader elements of precursor-tRNAs. Cellular RNase Ps are ribonucleoproteins. RNAcentral also lists the same sequence under 1 other name. The record is from RNAcentral. Lineage: Bacteria; Pseudomonadati; Pseudomonadota; Gammaproteobacteria; Enterobacterales; Enterobacteriaceae.